UUGCAUUUUACUUUCUAGGCUUGUUUGGUUCUUUGACUGCUAUCAGCUGAUGCGGUUUAGAUUAGACAUCUUCUAACAAGUGAACAUUGAAUUGAGUUUGCAUAUGUAAAUAACUCAGUUGCUUUUAACACUGUAGGUAGAUGUAACAUGUCUUGACAUAAAAGAGAUUCCUUACAUAAAAUCAAACAUUAUAACUCUUUUUUCUCUCUCCCCCUCUCUGUUUCACGUCCUUCUUCCUUCCCAAGCCGUCUAUAACAAACAUCCAAACAUUCCUAUUUCAUCAUCAUGCCAUCUCGAAUGGUAAUAGAGGCGACUUCACGGCACCCAUUGAAAUUGGCAUCACUAUCGACACUCAGCUAUUUUAUGUUUACAAGCGGGGCCAAUUUCUAACUCCAAUCGUCCCCCACAGUCGACAACGAAAUGAGAUUUUUUGUACUGGGAUUUUGAAAAGGCUGGUGUACUGUGUCAACGGAAACACUUGCCACCGUCAACCCCUCCAAUGUCUGCAACAAAGUAAUUGUCGUUUGAACCACUGCAGCCCUCUGGCUUCUGCUUGAGCGUGCUAAAUCAAAAGGGAUGCCAUUUGAGUGCAUUACGCUUUGGUCAAACUGAUCCUCUGCUCGUUUGCACGAAACUUUAUUUCCAAUCUCUCAACUCAUAGGUGCUACUGUAAACCAGGUCUAGACGAUAGUGCCCCCAUUUUUUUUUUCUUUCUAGCAAUUUUUCCUAUAUAAUUCCACCAUGCCGAAAUCAAGAUGCCCCACCAGCAUCUUACCUCGGAAGCAAAGCUCCUCUAUAGUCAUGCUUCACUCCCGAAGUCUUACCAUCAAGAGACCAACAAUCACGACACCUAGGACGUGCUCUUACCGAGUAAGCAAUGAUAUCAACUCAAUCUUGUUUCAUUUCACUGUUCAAUGUUUCAUAAGAAUUUUGUCAAACAUGUGGAGUGCAUGUAGAGUGCAUCAUUAGUAUCAUAUCUUGAUCAAGGACAUCAUUCGGAUUUGCUCCUCCUUCUAAAUGAUGAUUUGCCUCUAAUCUAGUGUAAAAUCUCAAUCUGUCCAUGUCUUAAUUUGGUACUACAUAAUAGGUUUUGUGAUGCAUGAAUUUAUUUUCAACACCAUAGUCAAUAUCAAGCUGGUUAUAGAGCCAUUUUCUUGAAUGUAUGAGAUUCAUGAAUUAGAUAACAACUGCUUAAGGAAGUCCAUUGGAGAACCAUAUAUUUGAACUUGGUCAACAGAGAGAUCUUGUAAGGUAGAUUCGAAUUUCUGAAUGCUAUUUCAGGUGAAACUGGUGGCUGGAAAUGAUUGUUAGGAUCCUUUUGAUCAUUUUCUUCAUCACUUGAAAAUAAUUUGCUUUGAUUGAAUUUCACUCAUCGCAUUUAAAUUAAUAGGGAAGCUUGUGUCCAUAUUGAUUGAAUUGAUGUGUACCUUCUGCGCUUGUGAAAUGUUGCAUUGGGCUAUGAUAAGAUCAAUGGCACGAUUAUCUUUAGUAACCUGUUAUGGAAAAUAGUUUAGAUAUUUUUUCUCAAUAUAAUAGGAAUCAUGAAAAAAUCAUUUUUAGCAAAUAAACAAAGAAAAGGCCAAACCAUAAUGCUCAUGCGAAAGUAGGAUGAAAAGUAUCCUUGUAUUUCUUAAGUUCAUUAUGAAGAAAGGUAAGAAUGGUAUUAAUUAAGAAACAUCAUACUUGUUUAUUAGCAAACAACUCAAUAAUUACUCCUGCCAAUGGAAUCAAAACCCUAGUACCAAAUGUUUCCUGCAAUUGUGAACGGUACAAAAACCCUUUUUUCCUAUUGGAUGUUCUUAAUGAAGAAGAAACAAAGAAUAUAAAAGCUAACCACUUUUCAUUCUAAAGUGUUUCUUUUUAUAUUUGGAUCCAAGUUGCAUGUUAAACUAGUAGGUGAACUGCAACCUUUGCAUGAGUGAGAGUUUAUAAUUUACUUUCUUAUUUGGUAAUUGUUAUCUAAUUCUUUUUUGGUAAUUGACAAUAAUAUUUACUUUCUUAUUUGUUAUGUUUCUGGCAACCAUACUUCCUACGCUCAUCUGGUGGCUCCUUGUACAAGCUAGUAUAUGAUGCGUAUCAAUACGUUUUCAUAUGGCUUGAAGUGCAUUGUCUAUUGUUGGGAUUGUCUAUUAUUUGUAUUGUCAUACUCGCCCAUUAGCAAAAUACCAUGGAUGAUAUAGAGAUUCUACGUGAUCGUGACCUUUGGGUUGGCAGAGAUGCUGGUUGAUAUGUUGUACCAAGAAACAUGGAGGGCAAAUUGGUGGAGUCCAAAAUUACAAACCAUGACAGUCUAACUUGCCACGCACCUCACUGAACUUGGUAUUAAGCCAGUUGAUUCAUCAUAAGGGAAAAAUCGCACGUCUUAAGAACACACUAUGCUAGUUUAUGGAUUUAAUGGGCCAAACGGGCAAGGUUUGGAAUCCCAUCACAAAAACUGUAAUUGAUACGAAAGAACAUUGGGCAAAUGCUUGUCGGGUCCGACUGCAAUGAAAAAAGUUCAAGAUUUACGGUUGUCAAAACUACAAUAUCCUAUGUGCAAGUUUUGGUCAGUCGGUUGUCACAUGAGUGCUGGAUUAUGUCUCAACGCAAGUACCCCUAUAAAGGAGGAGGAGCGGCUGGAGGAUGAAUUGAGAGCCCUUGACCUUGUGUUGGGCACAAUACUAGCACUACCACAAACUCGACCAUUGAUUUGGAUGACAUCAAGAUGGCCGGCUUGCCUCAGUGAGGGGGGCUACAGCCAAAGAAUUCUCAUAGGCAACGUAGGGGCCCAACCAGGUCGUCAAUCUCACCAGAGCUUAGCAAUGCUCCGCAAACAAUUGCUGCGAGCGUUGUAGCAUAGACAGAGUUAGAUGCUAAGAUUUACGAGGUAUGCAGUUCAAAGCACAGUAGAGAUGAGGGCUCAAAUGGUGGGCUAAUGCAGCCUUUAGAAGUAUUACACAGUGUAUGAAGUUUUUGCAGGACAUUACCCCUCUGUUACCACCGGACCUUCAUCUUCAUGCAGCGAAAGCUUUUAUGGAUGAAUAAUAUAAUUUUUUAAUAUUA
Long non-coding RNA from Carya illinoinensis, 3042 nucleotides. RefSeq lists it as uncharacterized. The record is from RefSeq and is a predicted model, not a curated record. The transcript has 3 exons. NCBI's taxonomy places the organism in Eukaryota, Viridiplantae, Streptophyta, Magnoliopsida, Fagales, Juglandaceae.